This 86-nucleotide transfer RNA is filed under the name Chloroflexota bacterium. RNAcentral's name for it is "tRNA-Leu". It matches the Rfam family "tRNA". From Rfam's summary of the family: Transfer RNA (tRNA) molecules are approximately 80 nucleotides in length. Their secondary structure includes four short double-helical elements and three loops (D, anti-codon, and T loops). Further hydrogen bonds mediate the characteristic L-shaped molecular structure. tRNAs have two regions of fundamental functional importance: the anti-codon, which is responsible for specific mRNA codon recognition, and the 3' end, to which the tRNAs corresponding amino acid is attached (by aminoacyl-tRNA synthetases). tRNAs cope with the degeneracy of the genetic code in two manners: having more than one tRNA (with a specific anti-codon) for a particular amino acid; and 'wobble' base-pairing, i.e. permitting non-standard base-pairing at the 3rd anti-codon position. Lineage: Bacteria; Bacillati; Chloroflexota. The record is from RNAcentral.
GCCGCAGUGGCGGAAUUGGCAGACGCGCUACGUUCAGGGCGUAGUGGGCAAAGCGCUCGUGGGGGUUCAAGUCCCUCCUGCGGCAC